CCCGAGUAGGCAUAGUUUAAAUUAAAACCUUAAGCUGUGGAACUUAACAACAGGA
RNAcentral lists this transfer RNA (55 nucleotides) under Quedenfeldtia trachyblepharus (Atlas day gecko). RNAcentral describes it as "partial tRNA-His". Lineage: Eukaryota; Metazoa; Chordata; Lepidosauria; Squamata; Sphaerodactylidae. The record is from RNAcentral.